UAUUGAAGUUUAAUACUGACGCCGGUAAGU
RNAcentral lists this non-coding RNA (30 nucleotides) under Rattus norvegicus (Norway rat). Lineage: Eukaryota; Metazoa; Chordata; Mammalia; Rodentia; Muridae. The record is from RNAcentral.